Molecule: transfer RNA, 72 nt
Filed under: Thermovirga lienii DSM 17291
Lineage: Bacteria; Thermotogati; Synergistota; Synergistia; Synergistales; Thermovirgaceae
Rfam family: tRNA
About the family: Transfer RNA (tRNA) molecules are approximately 80 nucleotides in length. Their secondary structure includes four short double-helical elements and three loops (D, anti-codon, and T loops).
Source: Rfam by way of RNAcentral
GGGCGACUAGCUCAGUGGGAGAGCGCUUCCUUCACACGGAAGAGGUCACAGGUUCGAACCCUGUGUCGCCCA